Nicotiana attenuata is the source of this 536-nucleotide long non-coding RNA. RefSeq lists it as uncharacterized. The record is from RefSeq and is a predicted model, not a curated record. Lineage: Eukaryota; Viridiplantae; Streptophyta; Magnoliopsida; Solanales; Solanaceae. The transcript has 3 exons.
UCCAUGAUAUAACUUUAUUGGUCUUGAAGGUAAUAAAAUAUCAGCAUUUGACUAACUUCUAUAAUCUAGAGGUUCAACUUGCAAUUGCUGAAGCCAAAAAGGAGCUCCUGGAGAUGCAUCACACCUUUAUAUUUCAAGCUGGGGAGCAGUAGUAUGCUGAAUUUGUAGCACAUGCUAUGUUGUUGGAAUCUGAGAUUCAGACUGCUGCUCCAAAUCAACUGCUGGACUGCUUAAGCCACUGCUUCAAAUUUGGCACUAGUACUGGAGAUGAUGUUCAUCGUAAGCUUUCAAAGGGAGGUUUGAUUAUCAAUGAUUCUCCUAAGCGACAACUCUAUUGUAAAUGUUGCUCGAUGGUCUGGAGCUACUAUUUACGUUUUUCAACAUAACAGUGAAGGUUUUGAAAAAACAUAAUUACGAGGGACAAUCCAUAACACACGCGCCAUGGAAGAAUAUAAUUGUUAAUUAUGAGGCUAUAAAGAACAUUAUUGGACUUCAGGAAAUAGUUGUAUGUUUCUUCAUUGUGUUUCCUUAUUACU